AAUGAGGUCUAUCCCGACUGGCUCCUCUCAGUAGAACUUAGUCGUUGGAAACGCCUCAAAGACCAAAUCUGUAGUAUCGCUUUACCCAUGUUGCUAUUAUCAUUAGCUGUGUGGGAAAUUACUACAGGACAUGC
Molecule: small nucleolar RNA, 134 nt
Organism: Misgurnus anguillicaudatus (oriental weatherfish)
Lineage: Eukaryota; Metazoa; Chordata; Actinopteri; Cypriniformes; Cobitidae
Source: RefSeq, a predicted model, not a curated record